Molecule: RNA transcript, 1757 nt
Organism: Cajanus cajan (pigeon pea)
Lineage: Eukaryota; Viridiplantae; Streptophyta; Magnoliopsida; Fabales; Fabaceae
Gene name: trihelix transcription factor GT-3b
Source: RefSeq, a predicted model, not a curated record
UUUGUACACCUAAGCCAAAGAAAAUCUCUCUUCUUUAUUACGCGAUUCACACCUUAUGUUCACACCACACCUCCACCUACAUAUAUAUUCUUCUUCUCUUUUUCUCUCUCUCUCUCUCCUCCAUAGCCAAAAUUAAUUAACACACUCCUCUCAAUAACUUUUUCUACACCUCCUCCUUCCCUUCUUCUUCUCCUUCUUUCCAUAUUUCAUUGGAGUCUCUCACUUUCAAUUUUCAUGGAGGGUCAUCAUCUCCAUCACCAUCAUCGACAACAAAUACAACAACACCAUCACCACCCUCAUAACAUCACAACUAGUGUCAACGUGGAUGUGACGGAUAGGUUCCCCCAAUGGAGCAUCCAAGAGACAAAAGAGUUCCUCGUGAUCCGUGCAGAGCUGGAUCAGACUUUCAUGGAGACAAAGAGGAACAAGCAGCUUUGGGAAGUCAUCUCCAACCGCAUGAAGGAAAAGGGUUACCAUAGAAGUGCAGAGCAGUGCAAGUGCAAGUGGAAAAACCUAGUUACUCGCUAUAAGGGAUGUGAAACGAUGGAGCCAGAGGCGAUGAGGCAGCAAUUUCCGUUUUACAAUGAGCUUCAAGCGAUUUUCACAGCGAGGAUGCAGAGAAUGUUGUGGGCUGAAGCAGAAGGAGGGUCCAAUAAGAAGAAGGGGGUGCAGCAUCUAUCUUCCGAGGAAGAGGAAGAGGGCAAUGAGGAGAGUGAGGGUGAUAUUCAUCACAAGGGUGGUGGCAUGAGCAGAAAGAAGAAGAAGGGCAAGAUGGUAGUUGGUGGAGGAAGUGGUGGUGGUGUUGCCAACAAUAGUAAUUUGGAGAGUUUGAAGGAGAUAAUGGAAGAGUUCAUGAGGCAACAGAUGCAAAUGGAGGCACAAUGGAUGGAGGCAUUUGAGGCAAGGGAGAAUGAGAGGAGGUUGAAGGAGAUGGAGUGGAGACAAACCAUGGAGGCAUUGGAGAAUGAGAGGAUGAUGAUGGAUCAAAGAUGGAGAGAGAGGGAGGAGCAAAGAAGGAUUAGGGAAGAAGUUAGGGCUGACAAGAGAGAUGCUCUAAUCACAGCUUUGCUCAACAAGCUUAGAAGAGAAGAGAUGUAGUAGAUAGUUUGUUUGGUUAGAUAGAUAGGUAGCUUUUAUGUGUCUUUCUUCAUGAAGCAAAGCUUAAUUUAAGAGAGUUCAUAUUCCCCAAUGGUGAUGACAUUGACACUGCAUGUGAGAGAGCUAGCGCAUGAUGAUCAUUUUCCAGCCUCAGGUAUGAACUUGACUUUAAAGUAGCAACACAACACAUUAUUUUAGCCGUGUCUUCUGUGAUAAAUUGAUUUUUAAUCAAUAGAAUAAUUUAAACAUAAGAAAGAAAAGAUCGCACAGAUCAAUGAUAGAAAAAAGGAGACGUUUGUAAUCAAAAUAGAAAAGCUAAGAUUGCAUGAUAACUUUUUGUCUUUAAAUUUGUCUAUGCGUGCGGUGUGUAGGGUAUAUGCAUGUUUAGUUGUUACAUAUCUACGUUAUAGAUCUGUAAAUUUCUUAAUCAAAUCUCUCACAUUAAAACCGAUCGACUUUAGGGGUAGAAUUAUUCUCAAUGACAUGUACUUACACAACUCACUUACACGUAUUUAGUAUUUUCGGAUGUAUGCAGGAACUUGAGUUAAAGAGGAAAUGAAAACAAAAAUCUAAUCACAGUUUAUGGUGGCACAAUUUUGUGGAUUCACUUUGCUUUGUGAUAUUUAUUUCUAAAUGAGAGUUUGUGAAUAAUCAAGUAC